This 519-nucleotide ribosomal RNA is filed under the name uncultured eukaryote. Its description in RNAcentral is "bacterial SSU rRNA". It matches the Rfam family "Eukaryotic small subunit ribosomal RNA", at positions 1161 to 1702 of the family's 1831-position model. The record is from RNAcentral.
AGGGCACCACCAGGAGUGGAGCCUGCGGCUUAAUUUGACUCAACACGGGAAAACUCACCCGGCCCGGACACUGGAAGGAUUGACAGAUUGAGAGCUCUUUCUUGAUUCAGUGGGUGGUGGUGCAUGGCCGUUCUUAGUUGGUGGAGCGAUUUGUCUGGUUAAUUCCGAUAACGAACGAGACUCUAGCCUACUAAAUAGAUCGUUGUUUUACAAACAACAGCGAGACUUCUUAGAGGGACAGGCGGUGAUUCAACCGCACGAAACAGAGCAAUAACAGGUCUGUGAUGCCCUUAGAUGUCCGGGGCCGCACGCGCGCUACACUGAAGUGAUCAGCGUGCUUGUCCCAUUGCCGAAAGGCAUUGGUAAACCCUUGAAAAUCCUCCGUGAUCAGGAUCGGGAAUUGCAACUAUUUCCCUUGAACAAGGAAUUCCCAGUAAGUGUGAGUCAUCAGCUCACGCUGAUUACGUCCCUGCCCUUUGUACACACCCCCCGUCGCUGCCCGGGACUGAUCCAUUUCGA